CACAAAUGGGCGCAAGCCUGAUGCAGCCAUGCCGCGUGUGUGAAGAAGGCCUUCGGGUUGUAAAGCACUUUCAGUCGUGAGGAAGGCGGGUACGUUAAUAGCGUAUUCGUUUGACGUUAGCGACAGAAGAAGCACCGGCUAACUCCGUGCCAGCAGCCGCGGUAAUACGGAGGGUGCGAGCGUUAAUCGGAAUUACUGGGCGUAAAGCGCAUGCAGGUGGUUUGUUAAGUCAGAUGUGAAAAAGCCCGGGGCUCAAACCUCGGAAAUAGCAUUUGAAAACUGGCAGACUAGAGUACUGUAGAGGGGUAGAAUUUCAGGUGUAGCGGUGAAAAUGCGUAGAGAUCUGAAGGAAUACCGGUGGCGAAGGCGGCCCCUGGACAGAUACUGACACUCAGAUGCGAAAGCGUGGGGAGCAAACAGGAUUAGAUACCCUGGUAG
RNAcentral lists this ribosomal RNA (438 nucleotides) under uncultured bacterium. RNAcentral's name for it is "bacterial SSU rRNA". It matches the Rfam family "Bacterial small subunit ribosomal RNA", at positions 367 to 793 of the family's 1533-position model. The record is from RNAcentral.